AAGCACUGCCUUUGAGCCUCAUGUGUGUUGCUUGUAGCUUCAUUGGCCAAGCAACAGUGCUAGAGCUUAAGCACUUGUUAUAACUGGGGUUCUUCUGCUCUCAACUGCUCCUUUAAAAACAAGGUGCAUUU
Molecule: small nucleolar RNA, 131 nt
Organism: Melopsittacus undulatus (budgerigar)
Lineage: Eukaryota; Metazoa; Chordata; Aves; Psittaciformes; Psittaculidae
Source: Ensembl